UUCAAGUGCCAAAGCCAAGAUUUGAAACAGAAGUACUUGAUGUAUUCUGCAUAUGAGCCGUUUGCUGGAUCACACUCUGAUAGAGAUUUACAAGAAAUCUGGUCUGCCGUAUUGCCUCAAACAUAUUUCAAUCAGCGAUUACACGUUUUGG
Choloepus didactylus (southern two-toed sloth) is the source of this 151-nucleotide long non-coding RNA. RefSeq lists it as uncharacterized. The transcript has 3 exons. The record is from RefSeq and is a predicted model, not a curated record. Lineage: Eukaryota; Metazoa; Chordata; Mammalia; Pilosa; Megalonychidae.